RNAcentral lists this ribosomal RNA (465 nucleotides) under uncultured bacterium. Its description in RNAcentral is "partial 16S ribosomal RNA". It matches the Rfam family "Bacterial small subunit ribosomal RNA", at positions 338 to 795 of the family's 1533-position model. The record is from RNAcentral.
CCUACGGGUGGCAGCAGUAGGGAAUAUUGCGCAAUGGACGAAAGCCUGACGCAGCAACGCCGCGUGAGGGAUGAAGGUCUUCGGCUCGUAAAGCUCUGUCAGCAGUGAAGAACGGUAACUGUGCUAAUCAGCCGUUAUUUGACGGUACCUGCUUAGGAAGCAACGGCUAACUACGUGCCAGCAGCCGCGGUAAUACGUAGGUGGCAAGCGUUUUCCGGAUUUAGUGGGCGUAAAGCGAGCGUAGGCGGUACAAUAAGUCAAACGUGAAAGCCUUGGGCUCAACCGGGGAAUUGCAUCAGAAACUGGUGAACUGGAGUGUAUGAGAGGAUAGUGGAAUUCCAGGUGUAGGGGUGGAAUGCGUAGAUAUAUGGAGGAACAGCAGUGGCGAAGGCGACUAUCUGGCAUGUAACUGACGCUGAGGAGCGAAAGCGUGGGUAGCGAACAGGAUUAGAUACCCUAGUAGUC